RNAcentral lists this ribosomal RNA (846 nucleotides) under Thorsellia anophelis. RNAcentral's name for it is "bacterial SSU rRNA". It matches the Rfam family "Bacterial small subunit ribosomal RNA", at positions 41 to 883 of the family's 1533-position model. The record is from RNAcentral. Lineage: Bacteria; Pseudomonadati; Pseudomonadota; Gammaproteobacteria; Enterobacterales; Thorselliaceae.
GGAGCGCGCUACCAUGCAGUCGAGCGGUACAGGGGAGCUUGCUCCUGCUGACGAGCGGCGGACGGGUGAGUAAUGCCUGGGGAUCUGCCUUAGUGAGGGGGAUAACCACUGGAAACGGUGGCUAAUACCGCAUAAUGUCGCGAGACCAAAGUGGGGGACCUUCGGGCCUCACGCACUAGGAUGAACCCAGGUGAGAUUAGCUAGUUGGUGAGGUAAUGGCUCACCAAGGCGACGAUCUCUAGCUGGUCUGAGAGGAUGAUCAGCCACACUGGGACUGAGACACGGCCCAGACUCCUACGGGAGGCAGCAGUGGGGAAUAUUGGACAAUGGGGGCAACCCUGAUCCAGCCAUGCCGCGUGUGUGAAGAAGGCCUUCGGGUUGUAAAGCACUUUCAUUGGUGAGGAAGGAUAUAAAACUAAUACUUUUAUGUAUUGACGUUAACCAAAGAAGAAGCACCGGCUAACUCCGUGCCAGCAGCCGCGGUAAUACGGAGGGUGCGAGCGUUAAUCGGAAUUACUGGGCGUAAAGGGCAUGCAGGCGGUUACAUAAGUCAGAUGUGAAAUCCCCGCGCUUAACGUGGGCAUUGCAUUUGAAACUAUGUAGCUAGAGUUCUGUAGAGGGGGGUAGAAUUCCAGGUGUAGCGGUGAAAUGCGUAGAGAUCUGGAGGAAUACCGAUUGCGAAGGCAGCCCCCUGGACAGUGACUGACGCUCAUAUGCGAAAGCGUGGGGAUCAAACAGGAUUAGAUACCCUGGUAGUCCACGCUGUCAACGAUGUCGAUUUGAAGGUUGUGGCUUUAAGCCGUGGCUUUCGGAGCUAACGCGUUAAAUCCACCGCCUGGGGAGUAC